CAGCCGCCGCGGGAAUACGGAGGGGGCUAGCGUUGUUCGGAAUUACUGGGCGUAAAGCGCACGUAGGCGGCUUGGUAAGUUAGAGGUGAAAGCCUGGAGCUCAACUCCAGAAUUGCCUUUAAGACUGCCGAGCUAGUAGGUGAGAGAGGUAAGUGGAAUUCCGAGUGUAGAGGUGAAAUUCGUAGAUAUUCGGAAGAACACCAGUGGCGAAGGCGGCUCACUGGCUCAUUCUAGACGCUGAGGUGCGAAAGCGUGGGGAGCAAACAGGAUUAGAUACCCCCGUAGUCCCUGUCUCUUAUAC
RNAcentral lists this ribosomal RNA (301 nucleotides) under uncultured bacterium. Its description in RNAcentral is "partial 16S ribosomal RNA". It matches the Rfam family "Bacterial small subunit ribosomal RNA", at positions 509 to 807 of the family's 1533-position model. The record is from RNAcentral.